GCCGUCGGAGCCUCCUUGUUGUCAUGAAUCGGGUUCAGAUCCGCAGUGGUUGAUUUGAGUGAGGCUUGCAGCUGUAUCAAUGAAUCCGGUGGUACUGUCGAGAUUCCCGUGGUUGAUCUGAGAUUUCGUGAUCAAUUCCGCGGAUCCGUGGGCAAUCGAAGAUAGACCUUCAUCUCUCUUCGAUCUGAGUUUUCCAAAUCAUAUCUGCCGAUCUGUA
RNAcentral lists this unclassified non-coding RNA (217 nucleotides) under Hevea brasiliensis (rubber tree). Lineage: Eukaryota; Viridiplantae; Streptophyta; Magnoliopsida; Malpighiales; Euphorbiaceae. The record is from RNAcentral.